ACGGUUGUUGUACACGUAUCAGAGGAUUUCUUCCUUCCUUAAUUUUCAUUUGACAUUUGUCCUUUGCCCAAUACAUGCCAGUUUAUACGUGCCAUUUUAGCUCUGAAUAUUUUUCAAAAGAAAGCAUCAACUAGUUCUCUCAAGGCACCCCCAUCAGCUAGCUCUCGAACUUUCCCAAACCUACAGAAUGGCAAGAGAAACGAAAGGAAAUCCUAUGAAUUCAAGAAAAAAAGUGGCAAUCAGAGCAGCUAUGAGCAGCAAAAACAAAGAGCAAUCAGGAGAACAAUGCCAACCCAAAGCUCCUUGCAGCAAAUUCCAACAACUUCCACAGGCUUUGGUCUUGGAAAUCCUCUCAAGCCUCUCCAUCAAGACCCUCUUGAAUUGUAGGUGCGUGUGCAAAGACUGGCUUUCUAUAAUUUCUGACCCUCAAUUUACUAAGCUCCACUCUUCAAGGUCACCCGUUGGCAUCUUGAUCAAGACCUACCCCCCUAUAAGAAAAUCAAGGAAACUUGAUUUUACCCAUAUAGAAGAUUGUGCUGGUUCUGAUUUGCUGCUUGAGAAAAUAAGGUUUAAUCCCCAAAACAGCCUACCCAUUGGGGCCAUGCCUGAAUUUCGUUUGAUAAACUCAUGUAAUGGUCUGCUCUGUUUGUCUGGACCCAAUAGAGAUUACCCAUGUUUUGUGUGCAAUCCAAUUUUGGGUGAGCACAUCAGCAUCCCUCCUACCAAUCUAAGUAGAAACAAGUGUUUUUUUGUUGGGCUUGGUUUUAGCAAUGGAACCAGUGAGUACAAGUUGUUGCAAAUGACCAAUGGCACUGAGGCUGAGAUAUACACCAUUGGUACAGGAGUGUGGAGAAGUAUUGGAAAUGCUCCUGGGGAUAUUGAUCAGUUACCCUUCAAUCCUUUUCUGCAUGGAGCUCUUCAUUGGGUAUCCUAUAGUAGUACAGUUCCUGAUUUUAUACAUUCUUUCGACUUCGAAAGAGAACAAUUUCGACCACUGCCUGUGCCUAGCUUACUGGGAAAUCGAUUUUCAGAUUGUUAUAUACUAGAAGUGGUAGGUGGGUGUCUCUGUUUCUCUGUGUUUGAUGAUGAUUAUAGCAAAUUCGACAUGUGGGUUAUGAAGGAGUAUGGUGUUCAAGGGUCUUGGACUAAAGUUCUUGUUUUCGGAAACUUGUACGAGUGUCCAGAGGAACGAAUCUGUCAUGUGUAUGAACCAAUUAUGUUUUUGAGGAAUGGGGAAAUCCUGCUGUUGUUCAAUAAUUGUGCUGUUGUUUGUUAUAAUCAAGAAACAAAGAGUUUCAGGGAAAUAAGAAUUACUUGGACUCGGUCACCAUUUGAGGCAAUUGCUUACAGUCCAUCCUUUGUUUCCCUCUACAAUGUUUCAAAAGGAGAAGAGGUGAAGAGGAAUUUGAACAAUAACACGGAUGCUUCAGUAAGUGGCUGGGACAUUGGUCACUGAUCAGCUCAUUUUGGCAUGCUUACCGUGUAUGAUAUGAAGGGUACAAUGCGGUAAGAAAUCGGGUAAGAAAUCUGGAAAGCUGCUUUCGGAAGGGAGCUAUGAGUGUGCCGGCUCUAGUAUGCCACCCCGCAAGUCCACAAAACUUAACUCAGGCUAUGGAUGCCCUGCUUUUGAGGAGGGUCUUCCUUGAACCAUAAAUCCUCUGCUAUGGAUGCCCUGCUUUUGAGGAGGGUCUUCCUUGAACCAUAAAUCCUCUCUGGAUUUCACUCGGAGGAUAUGGACUGCGUUCACUCUAUGCGGUGUCCACUUGGGUUAUGUUGUAAGAGGUUUAGGUUCCCAAUGUGCCAACAAUGUUCUGAGUCUUUUGAUGACACCGGUUCCUCAUGAGAGCUUCUCGAUUGCUUGUAUAUAGGUUUUUGUAAUACCCAAGUAGCUCUCCUUUUGUUCUUCAGAAUAGACAGAAAAAGGCAGCAUUUUGUUUUAUAGCCAUUAUAGUAACUCUGCCCCUAUAGAUCAAUCUGCAGGUGAUGACUUGUCUAGACAAAAACCUGGUUGAAACUUUUGUAAAA
Prunus avium (sweet cherry) is the source of this 2025-nucleotide non-coding RNA. Lineage: Eukaryota; Viridiplantae; Streptophyta; Magnoliopsida; Rosales; Rosaceae. The record is from RefSeq and is a predicted model, not a curated record.